Molecule: unclassified non-coding RNA, 335 nt
Filed under: Hevea brasiliensis (rubber tree)
Lineage: Eukaryota; Viridiplantae; Streptophyta; Magnoliopsida; Malpighiales; Euphorbiaceae
Source: RNAcentral
CCAGUUCGUCGAGGGCGGCGUAGAGGCCCUCAAACGGCUUGGAAGCGUCCGCGAUGUGCUCCCUGUAAUAGGCAAUGAAGUCGACGGUCAGCCGGUCGAUGUCCGCCACGCUCAUGGCGCGCCCCUCGAGUUCGAGCCCGCGCUCGAUCAGCUUCCGCGCACCGGCGCCGAUCAUGGUGCGAGCGGAUGCAACCGGCACGAGUGGCAGCCCUUCGCGCUGGAGGACGAAGUUCAGCGCGCCGACGAGAUCGGGGGCUGUAUCGACGAGAGUGCCGUCGAGAUCGAAGACAAUAAGGGGGGAGGAGGUCAUGGCGGAUCGCUAGCGGGCGAAGCCG